Non-coding RNA from Caenorhabditis elegans, 135 nucleotides. The record is from Ensembl. Lineage: Eukaryota; Metazoa; Nematoda; Chromadorea; Rhabditida; Rhabditidae.
UAGACACCAACCGAUGAAAAAUUGCCGAAAAUUUCCAUUCUCCGUUCUUUUUUUUUUCCUUUUCGUAUUCGAGGGGACAUUUCUGGAUUCUUGGAUGGGAUAAUGGAUGAGCCAAUUUUAAAGUGUGGCUAAAGA